This 30-nucleotide non-coding RNA is filed under the name Rattus norvegicus (Norway rat). Lineage: Eukaryota; Metazoa; Chordata; Mammalia; Rodentia; Muridae. The record is from RNAcentral.
GCCUAGCUGUGCAGAGACUUGAAGUGCCAA